This 253-nucleotide ribosomal RNA is filed under the name uncultured bacterium. Its description in RNAcentral is "partial 16S ribosomal RNA". It matches the Rfam family "Bacterial small subunit ribosomal RNA", at positions 524 to 776 of the family's 1533-position model. The record is from RNAcentral.
GACAGAGGGCGCAAACGUUGUUCGGAAUUACUGGGCGUAAAGCGUGCGUAGGCGGCCACGUAAGUCGGAUGUGAAAGCCCCGGGCUCAACCCGGGAAGUGCACUCGAUACUGCGUGGCUUGAGUACUGGAGAGGUUGGUGGAAUUCUCGGUGUAGAGGUGAAAUUCGUAGAUAUCGAGAGGAACACCGGUGGCGAAGGCGGCCAACUGGACAGAUACUGACGCUGAGACACGAAAGCGUGGGGAGCAAACAGG